CUCUUCCUAGUGUGGACCAGUUCUGCUUACCAGCCUUGUCGUCGAGGGGCGGUGCCCCACGGCGCAGGCCGGAAAUUGUAGGCGCCGGGUCCGUUGCGCCAUGCUGGAGAGUCCGCGCGUGUGAUGUCUGCAGGUCUUGUUGGAUUCCUGGCGCUGUUCCCUGAAGACUCUCUUACCUACUCUUUCCGGCUCUUGGCGGCUUUUGUCUCUUCUCUCACAGGAGAAUUCUGCUGGCUAAUAGUGCUUCAGGCAAAAAAUAAAACCUUGCCAGAAAACUAGACACUUACAGUAGAGCCUCACACACUCCCCCCGCCUUCCGGUCCAAAAGCCAUAGCCUUCCUGACUUCUCACCCUGUGUACUGGCGGUGUCUAUCUAAUUAUAUACCAGAAGCAAACACCAAGACGGGAUUACACGUGCAAGUACUUUAUUGGGGAAAUGCCUGUGUGGGAACAUCUCAAGGAAACCAGAGGAGGCAGGGAGUUGUCAGACCUUGAUGAAGGUCUAUAAUCUGCUUUGGGUGUCCGAUGUGAGUGAGCACACAAUUUAUAAGGAAAACUCCCGACAGAUAAAAUUUCCAAGAUAUGUGGAAAACCGCCAAGGUAGAGGAGAUUGGAAACCAGGAUGGGAAUAAAGGGAUCCAGAGCGUCAAAUCCUUCCUGGAGAAGAAAAAGGACACAGUAUUUGUUAAGGACACAGUAUUUGCUAAAUGUUUAUUUAAACAUUUUAAGGGUAAGUUCUUUGCUUUUGUUCUAUUCUAUUCCCCCUGCUCCAGGGCUGGCUACUUUUGCUCUGUGUGGCCACAAAUACUAUAUUUAAAGAAGAGAUAAUGUUUGGGGGGGGGUGGAGGGUGUCACUUAUCUGAGUGGGUAUAUACAUAACAUAUUUAAAUUUUUUUACAUUUCUGACUUUAACUGCUAACAACUGUUUGAUAGUUCAAAUACUCAAAAACAGAAAAUAAACAAAAUGGAAGAAGACGCUAAAUAGAAUAUAAACUGAAACAAAUGAAUCAAACAGAACACAGAAGGGAGGAGGAAGACUAACCCAAACCAGCUUCUGAACAGAGUAUUUGAGCUAAAGGUCCCUUAAGGCAAAAGACAAAAAUCUGCCCUAAAAGAAGAUAUUAAGUCUAAAUAAAACACAAGUAAAAAAAAUUUCUUUUGAGCUCUGGUUUGCAGCUUAUUUUUAUAGCCAAGGGGUAGCAGUUCUGAAACUACUUUUACUGUGAUCUGAGAUUGAGCUAAAGGGUAAAUAGUGUGAAUUAGAACAGAUUUCUUAUUGUUGGAGAUGAGGGUUACAGGUAUGGAAAGCUGUGGGGUAGGGGGCUAGCCUGGAAUGGAAAGAAUCAAACUCAGAGAAACAGAGAUGUGUGUGGACUUGUAUAUAUAUAAACAAAUAUCUGCAUGUUGUGUGUACAGGAAUGGUACACAGAUCUGUUUACUAACUGUGCUGGAGGGCCUAGAAGAGAUGACAGACACACCCCAGCAGCACUCAGGUCUUGGUUUCUAAUACCAUUCUCCUCUAAAAUGAACCAAAACUCCUUGGAGAAAUGGCUGAUUCUAGGGCCAGGUAUGGAAAGUACAAGAUAAGCCUGGAACAUGUUCUUGUGCCAAAAGUAAAAUGCUUCAAUAAUGGGGACAGUGGAGGGAGGGUAGGGGGGAAAUGAUGGGGACAUGUUCAAAGAAGCCACUUUGAAGGGCUCCUGUUGGCGAAACUAGGAUAAUUUAGGCACCAGAAUAAAUAAUGAUAGUAAAAGUUUAGAGCUCAAUAAACAAGAAUCCACAUGUCCAUGUUGAAACAAAUAAAUACAAGAAAGGAAAAUCCUUACAUUUAAGAGAAAGCUAACUGAUAUAUUUAGAAGAAAUGAUAGCUAGAAAAUAUUGUGCAAUUAUCAUAACUGAUUUAGGGGAGAAUGAGCAAUGGAAACUAAAACUAGUAAGGGAAAGUUUGAGGAGUAAAAGGAUAUUUACCUAGUCUCAACGGUACCUCCACAAGAUACUUAUUUAUUACAGAGGAAAAGAGUAAUUUUACUGAGGAGAAAUCAGGUAGAUGGCACCUUAACUAAGCAUUCGAAGCUUAUACUGCCAGUAAUAGAAGUGUCACGAGCUUCCUGGUAUUAUACACUGAGAAGACCCAAUAUAAUCUCUAGCAUCACAUUUACUCAGGAAAAAACAUCAGAUAAUUAGCAUGCACUCUUCAAAAACAGAGAUAUAGAUAUUAAAGUUAUAAGAGACAAAGACUGAGGAACUGGCCCCUAUCGAUUAGAGGAGACUGACAAGAUACAACAAUUGAGUGCAGUGCAUUGUCCAGGACUUCCUUUGCCUGUAAAGGUACUGGGAUAACCAGGCAAAAUCAGAAUAAAUUCUAUAGAUAGGUAACAGUAUUAGAUCAGUGUUAAUUUUCUGAUUUUUAUAACUAUGCUGAGGUUAUACAUUAGAAUAGCUUUAAUUUUGGAAAAUAUGCAUUAUUUAGAGAUAAAAGAAGACAUCAUGUUUUGGGUCACUAUCACAUAAUUCAGAAAAAAAAAAGUUGGAGAGAGAAUAAAGCAAAUAUGGUAAAGUGUUAACAUAUAAAACAUCUAGGUGAAGUCAGAGUAAUACAGUUUUUCUCCAAGUUUGAAAUCAUGUCCUACCCCCUCCAAAUUUUGUAUAUAUCUUAGACAGAAUGACUAUCUAAGGGCAAACAAAUUUUCCAGUGAUUUGACCUUUCCCAGCAACUCCUGGGGCAGAUAAGCAUUCCGUGGCUUAAAGAGAGAACCAGUCUGGCUCACAGUCAACACAAUGGCACCUCCUUGCUGAAAGAAAGGAGAAAAGGCUAAAUUUAAAAAAAGGCUGAAAAAGAUAAAAAAAUGCAUUUUAAUCACCUGCAGUUUUUGUUCUUGUUGCUAUGCAGUGGUAAGGCAGUAUGAUCUAACAUAGUUAAAUGGCAACUAAAUUGGUUAUUAAUUCUAGAUUUGGCUCUGACAAUAAAUUGCUUGCUACAUCUUCGAUCUUAGAUUUAUCCAAAUCCUUUCCAAAGCUGCUAAAAAUAACACCUUGAACAAUGGCAGGAAAGUAAAAUUAUUCCAUAUUUAAAUAAAAUGGUUUUGAAUAAGUGUACUCCAGUGAAGCAGAAAGAUAGGAAACCAAUACAGAGAUUCAAAACUUGGUACAGUUAUGGUAAUGAAAUAAGAUAUAUAAGAAUUUCUGUCCAUAAAAUUAGAGACUGGUUAGUAUUAGGGAUGAAGCAGUUGAACAUCUUUAAAACAAAAAUAUAUUUCUUUCUGAAAUGUGUUAGGCAUCACAUGCACUCACCCAGUCAUUUUUCACCAUUUUCCUCAGGUUGUGAAUAAGCGCUAGCUCUUCUGGGGCAAUCUGCACAUUGGUUGGUGUGUGUGAGAGAGAGGUAGAGAGGGCGGGGCCGGAGGAGAGAAGAGAACAUUACUUCCUUUGCGAUGCGAGAUAUCUGAAUUGACAACUAAAAAAUUCUCAACCACUACGUGACCAGAGUCCCUGAAGGCCUUGUAAGAGAACUCAGCAGGGAAGUGAAUACUUUCUAGCCCAUUUCUGGCCUGGAGCUUAAAAACAAACAAAAGAAGGAGCUCCCAUCAUGGCUCAGUGGAAACUA
Phacochoerus africanus (Common warthog) is the source of this 3604-nucleotide long non-coding RNA. RefSeq lists it as uncharacterized. The transcript has 6 exons. Lineage: Eukaryota; Metazoa; Chordata; Mammalia; Artiodactyla; Suidae. The record is from RefSeq and is a predicted model, not a curated record.